UUUAAUUAAGAUUAUUGCAUGUAAGUUUUGGCGAGAAUUAUUUAAUGUUUAAUCUAAAUGGUUGAAUAUGGAAAAUCUCCUUAUCUCUAGAUAUUUAUUGAUUCGCAGCUUGUUUUUUUAUAAUAUUUAAUCUUUUAUGAUCUAGCUUAUUUUAAUUUGAUUGGCUAAUACUGUGCCAGCAGCCGCGGUUAUACAGUUAAUCAUAGUUAAUUUUAUUUAAUUGAUAUUAUUAUUUUUAUUUAAUUGAUAUAAUAUUUUUUAAUUUUUGGGUAAAAUUUAAAUUAAUGUUUAAUCUUAUUUGGUUGAUUUAUUAUAUGAAAUUUUUAUUUAAACAAGGAUUAGAUACCCUUUUAUUAAUAAUGUAAAUUUGUCUUUGUAGUAUUGUUAGUUUUGAUCUUUAAAUUAAAAGGAUUUGACGGUAAUUUGAUCAUUCCAGAGGAACCUGUCCUGUAAUUGAUAAUCCACGAUAAAUUUUACCUUAAUUGUAUUGGUUUGUAUAUCUCUGUUUAUAUGAGUGUUUUAAUAGAAUAUUAUAUUCUCUUUCAUUAUUUAAUAUAAUUUAUAUCAGGUCAAGGUGCAGCUAUAUUAAGGGUUGAGAUGGGUUACAUUAAUUUAUUAAAUUAUGGAUUUUAUUUAUAAUUGAUGAAUUUCUUAAAUGAAAUUGGAUUUGGUAGUAAUAGUUAUUAUUUAUUUUCUAUGAUAAUUGUCCUCGAUUAAGUACACAUCGCCCGUCACUCUCAUUAUUAAAGUGAGAUAAGUCGUAACAAAGUAGGCAUACCGGAAGGUGUGCCUGGUUUAAUA
Molecule: non-coding RNA, 801 nt
Filed under: Eumenotes sp. HEM140
Lineage: Eukaryota; Metazoa; Arthropoda; Insecta; Hemiptera; Dinidoridae
Source: RNAcentral